This 406-nucleotide ribosomal RNA is filed under the name uncultured bacterium. Its description in RNAcentral is "partial 16S ribosomal RNA". It matches the Rfam family "Bacterial small subunit ribosomal RNA", at positions 29 to 526 of the family's 1533-position model. The record is from RNAcentral.
AUUGAACGCUGGCGGCAGGCCUAACACAUGCACGUCGAACGAGUGGCGGACGGGUGAGUAAUGUCUGGGAAACUGCCUGAUGGAGGGGGCUAACUCCUGGCAACGGUCGCUAAUACCGCCUACCAUCGGAUGUGCCCAUGUGGGAUUAGCUAGUAGGUGGGGUAAAGGCUAACCUAGGCGACGAUCCCGAGCUGGUCUGAGAGGAUGAACAGACACACUGGGACGGAGACACGGUCCAGACGCCUACGGGAGGCAGCAGUGGGGAAUAUUGCACAAUGGGCGAAAGCCUGAUGAAGCCAUGCCGCGUGAAUGAAGAAGGCCGUCGGGUUGUAAAGUACUUUCAGCGGGGAGGCGUUACCCGCAGAAGAAGCACCGGCUAACUCCGUGCCAGCAGCCGCGGUAAUUC